RNAcentral lists this transfer RNA (63 nucleotides) under Cerogria janthinipennis. RNAcentral describes it as "tRNA-Leu". The record is from RNAcentral. Lineage: Eukaryota; Metazoa; Arthropoda; Insecta; Coleoptera; Tenebrionidae.
UCUGAAAUGGCAGAUUAGUGCGACGAAUUUAAGCUUCGUAUAUAAAUUCAUUUUUUUUUAGAA